ACAAACGGAUCAAAUUAAAAUUAAUGACAGUAAAAAAGGAGGUUAUAAGAAUGUUUUCUGGAAAAAUAAUGCUUUUUAGGGAGGUGGAAUUUUAAUAAGAAGAGGUAAUUUAGGUUUUUCUUUUUUUGACGCCUCGAAAUUUUGUUUAUAAAACCGGGAUUAGAUACCCCGUUAUUCAAAAUGUAAACUUUGAUUGUGUUUGUGAUUUACUUGAGUAUUACGAGUAUAGGAAUAGUUUGUUUCAUUAUAUUUCUUAAAACUCAAAAAACUUGGCGGUGCCUUAUAUCCUUUCAGGGGAACCUGUCCUAUAAUCGAUAGUCCACGAUUUAACUUUCUUUCUUUUGAAUUUGUUAUCAGCUUGUAUACCGUCGUCGUCAGGUUACCUUUAAGAGUUUUGAAGUUAUCGGUGAGAAUUGGGUUAUAUUAGUUGCGGGCUUAUUACCUGAGGAUUAAUUGUAUAGUUCUAGACGUCAGAUCAAGGUGCAGCCUAUAAGGAAGUAGAGAUGGGUUACAAUAAUAAAUUAUUAUACGAAUUUUUGUUGUAAUAGCAAAAUUGAAGGAGGACUUGAAAGUAAUUAGUUUAGAGAUAAGAGAGCUUAAAUGAAAAUAGGCUCUGAGGUGCGC
RNAcentral lists this ribosomal RNA (624 nucleotides) under Minolia nyssonus. Its description in RNAcentral is "partial 12S ribosomal RNA". Lineage: Eukaryota; Metazoa; Mollusca; Gastropoda; Trochida; Solariellidae. The record is from RNAcentral.